CUGGUCACACUAACUGAUAUCGGUCUUUGUUUUGGUUUUUUUUUUGUUUGUUGUUCUUAGAUGAUAAGAAAUUGGGAGGAAAACAAAAUAGCCAAAUGUGAACCGUUAGAACAAAAUGGUGGCCUAUACGCAAGUGGAACAUCCGCCCAGGAGGCAACUUCUCAGCCCCCUAAGAUCCCUAAUCAUCUGCCUGGCUGGGAUCUCACUGUUGUUGUUGUUAUCGCUGGGUUUCUGGACGAGAUUCGGGGAGAACGGCGGCCAGUGGUCAUCUGGUGGCGAAGAACAACGCCUGGUGUGCUACUACGCCACCAAUGACGCCCACAAUCUCAGGCUGGUGGACGUGCCGGGCGACUUGUGCACCCACAUCAACAUUGGACCCGCCUUUCUGGACAACUCCAGUCUGGUUCUGCCCGCCGACCUGCAGCGGGUGCUCCGGAAUGACAGUAUUAGCUUCCGCAGUGCCCAUCCCCAGGUGCACCAGCUGCUGUGGAUUGGUGGCGCCGACAGCGGAGAGCAGUUCGCUCACAUGGUGGCGAACCACGACCGGCGGAAAGUGUUCCUCCGGUCGUUGCGAGAAGUCCUGCGCACCUAUCCCAGCCUGGAUGGCAUCGAUCUGGACUGGGAGUUCCCCAGUGCCUACAACGAGGAGCGGAUGCACUUCAGCCAGCUGCUCUACGAGAUCCGGACGGAGUGGCGGCGCGAGAAACGCGACAAGGACAUCCUAUCGCUGGCGGUGGCGGCGCCCGAGGGCAUCGCCUUCUACGCCUACAACAUCCGGGAGCUGAAUCUGUACGCCGAUUAUGUCAACCUGAUGUCCUACGACUUCCACUUCUAUCGCAAGGACAUGCCGUUUACGGGCCUGAAUGCCCCGCUCUAUGCCCGCCCCCAGGAGCACUCCCUGAUGGGCACCUUCAACAUCAACUACACGGUCCAGUGGUGGCUAUCGAAUGGCCUGGAGCCGCACCGUUUGGUGGUGGGUCUGCCCACCUAUGGACACUCCUUCACGCUCGUGAAUGCCCUCAACCGGCGGGUGGGUGCUCCAGCCCAGGGCUAUGGCCGAUGUGGAAGUCUCGGCUUCACAACGCUCUCGGAGACGUGCCGGUGCGUUGGGAACUUCCCAAAUCCCGUCUACAGCUUCGAUCCAGAGGCCUGCUCCCCCUACCUCAGUAUGCUCCACGAGUGGAUCUCGUACGAGAACCAGACGAGCAUCAAGUGCAAGGCUAGCUAUGUGAGGAACUUGAAUCUGGGGGGGAUUAUGGUGUUCUCCCUGAAUAGUGAUGAUCUGGAGAAUGCCUGUGAUCUUAUACGUAAUUGGAAUGGAAAGCCAGUCUUUCCGCUCAUCCAGACGGUGAAGGAGGUCCUGGAUGGGCCUAAGGCAGGAGCAGAUCAGGACUAGGAUGUGGACCAGACCAGGACCAGGACGUGGACCAGGAGUAGACGAUAACUUUAUAUAGAGAACAUGCACAGGAUCAGGAGACAUCAGAAGACAUCUGGAGCCAUUAGGACAUCAAGGACAUCAGUAUAUAUAUAUAUAUAUAUGGUACAUAUUGGCAUGUAUGGUACAUAUGGUUG
Molecule: RNA transcript, 1572 nt
Organism: Drosophila ananassae
Lineage: Eukaryota; Metazoa; Arthropoda; Insecta; Diptera; Drosophilidae
Gene: Cht11
Gene name: chitotriosidase-1
Exons: 3
Source: RefSeq, a predicted model, not a curated record